GCGGGCGUAGCUUAGUGGCAAAGCGCGAGGUUUCCACCCUCGAUACGGGAGUUCGAUCCUCCCCGCCCGCU
This is a non-coding RNA of Actinobacteria bacterium 13_1_20CM_4_69_9, 71 nucleotides long. The record is from Rfam. NCBI's taxonomy places the organism in Bacteria, Bacillati, Actinomycetota.